GAUGAACGCUGGCGGCGUGCCUAAUACAUGCAAGUCGAGCGAACAGACGAGGAGCUUGCUCCUCUGACGUUAGCGGCGGACGGGUGAGUAACACGUGGAUAACCUACCUAUAAGACUGGGAUAACUUCGGGAAACCGGAGCUAAUACCGGAUAAUAUAUUGAACCGCAUGGUUCAAUAGUGAAAGACGGUUUUGCUGUCACUUAUAGAUGGAUCCGCGCCGCAUUAGCUAGUUGGUAAGGUAACGGCUUACCAAGGCAACGAUGCGUAGCCGACCUGAGAGGGUGAUCGGCCACACUGGAGCUGAGACACGGUCCAGACUCCUACGGGAGGCCGCAGUAGGGAAUCUUCCGCAAUGGGCGAAAGCCUGACGGAGCAACGCCGCGUGAGUGCUGAAGGUCUUCGGAUCGUAAAACUCUGUUAUUAGGGAAGAACAAAUGUGUAAGUAACUAUGCACGUCUUGACGGUACCUAAUCAGAAAGCCACGGCUAACUACGUG
RNAcentral lists this ribosomal RNA (497 nucleotides) under uncultured bacterium. Its description in RNAcentral is "partial 16S ribosomal RNA". It matches the Rfam family "Bacterial small subunit ribosomal RNA", at positions 28 to 507 of the family's 1533-position model. The record is from RNAcentral.